CGACCCCAGGUCAGGCGGGACUACCCGCUGAGUUUAAGCAUAUCAAUAAGCGGAGGAAAAGAAACUUACCAGGAUUCCCUUAGUAACGGCGAGCGAACUGGGAUCAGCCCAGCUUGUAAAUCAGGCGACCUUGUCGUCUGA
RNAcentral lists this ribosomal RNA (141 nucleotides) under Rhodiola pamiroalaica. RNAcentral describes it as "partial 28S ribosomal RNA". It matches the Rfam family "Eukaryotic large subunit ribosomal RNA", at positions 1 to 141 of the family's 3401-position model. Lineage: Eukaryota; Viridiplantae; Streptophyta; Magnoliopsida; Saxifragales; Crassulaceae. The record is from RNAcentral.